GUGCCAGCAGCCGCGGUAAUACGUAGGUGGCGAGCGUUGUCCGGAAUUACUGGGUGUAAAGGGCGCGUAGGCGGGGGAGUAAGUCAGAUGUGAAAGCCCAUGGCUCAACUGUGGGACUGCAUCUGAAACUACUUUUCUUGAGUGCUGGAGAGGAAAGCGGAAUUCCUAGUGUAGCGGUGAAAUGCGUAGAUAUUAGGAGGAACACCAGUGGCGAAGGCGGCUUUCUGGACAGUAACUGACGCUGAGGCGCGAAAGCGUGGGUAGCAAACAGGAUUAGAUACCCUGGUAGUCCACGCCGUAAACGAUGGAUACUAGGUGUAGGAGGUAUCGACCCCUUCUGUGCCGGAGUUAACACAAUGAGUAUCCCACCUGGGGAGUACGGCCGCAAGGUUGAAACUUAAAUGAAUUGACGG
RNAcentral lists this ribosomal RNA (413 nucleotides) under uncultured bacterium. RNAcentral's name for it is "bacterial SSU rRNA". It matches the Rfam family "Bacterial small subunit ribosomal RNA", at positions 505 to 916 of the family's 1533-position model. The record is from RNAcentral.